GGCUAUUCGCACCGCCACGGUACAUGGAGCCAUUGUUUCCGUUCUUAUUCGCACCGUCAGAAACAACCAAUGAGAGCGCUUCUUACAAAUGACCCGGAUCACCCGCCCUCUCCAAAUCGCUUUGUCCGGUCAUGCCGGUUGUCUCCUGUACAAGCUGAAUCUCUCAUGUCUCUUGCUGUAAGUACUCCAAAAAGAAUUUUUCUCCCAUUUUUUUCGUUUUCGAAGUGGUCCAAUGUGAGGAGUAUACCACCGAGCACCGUGUUUAGGUGUUAAUUAGAGUAAUUAUGGAAGUUGAAAAGGUGCACAGAUUCGUGGCAGAGCACAUCUUCUGCAAUGGCGGACCUCCAAAGACAACGACGAAACGCUCUUCAGUGCAGAACUUUUAAGGAAGCCUAGGCUGACAAUAACACAUGGAUGGUACCUUGAUUUAAUGACAGAGUCUCAGUCUAUGGAAUCGCGACGAAAUCCUACGACGGCGUCACAAAAUACACUAGUAUAAAAUGAACAUGACAUGUCCUGAAUACAUAGCGUCACGAACGCUCACUUAUCUUUUACCGGCACUGAGAGUAAUUAUGUUCAACUUGCUCACUGAAACUUUAUAGACAUUGGUAGAAAGGGCAUCUACGUAUACCCCGACUGUGAGUUUUAAAUUGAUUGGUGAUUGUAUAACUGUUUUCCGGCGAGCUGCAGUUGAGCAAAAGUACAUAGACUGGCACUUCAAAGCAAUAUUGAUGCUGUGACUGUGUGUAAAUAUUGUAACCCUGUAAGCAUUCUAACACUAAAUAUUCUGGACCAUUGUAUAGCUGUACAUUUAGAUGCCUGAUGUUUAAGUCAUGACUUGUUGUUCAUUUUCGGUUCUCUGUGCUGCCUGCCUUCUCUUGUAAAUAUUCUGCACCAUUGUAUACUAGUAGCUUUACAUAUUAGAUGCCCGAUGUUGAAGUCAUGACUUGUUGUUCAUUUUCGGUUCUCUGUGCUGCCUGCCUUCUCUUGUAAAUAUUCUGCACCAUUGUAUACUAGUAGCUUUACAUAUUAGAUGCCCGAUGUUGAA
Lineus longissimus is the source of this 1048-nucleotide long non-coding RNA. RefSeq lists it as uncharacterized. NCBI's taxonomy places the organism in Eukaryota, Metazoa, Nemertea, Pilidiophora, Heteronemertea, Lineidae. The record is from RefSeq and is a predicted model, not a curated record. The transcript has 2 exons.